This 524-nucleotide ribosomal RNA is filed under the name Lacticaseibacillus paracasei subsp. paracasei. RNAcentral's name for it is "bacterial SSU rRNA". It matches the Rfam family "Bacterial small subunit ribosomal RNA", at positions 35 to 526 of the family's 1533-position model. Lineage: Bacteria; Bacillati; Bacillota; Bacilli; Lactobacillales; Lactobacillaceae. The record is from RNAcentral.
AGCUGGCGCGUGCCUAUAAUGCAGUCGAACGAGUUCUCGUUGAUGAUCGGUGCUUGCACCGAGAUUCAACAUGGAACGAGUGGCGGACGGGUGAGUAACACGUGGGUAACCUGCCCUUAAGUGGGGGAUAACAUUUGGAAACAGAUGCUAAUACCGCAUAGAUCCAAGAACCGCAUGGUUCUUGGCUGAAAGAUGGCGUAAGCUAUCGCUUUUGGAUGGACCCGCGGCGUAUUAGCUAGUUGGUGAGGUAAUGGCUCACCAAGGCGAUGAUACGUAGCCGAACUGAGAGGUUGAUCGGCCACAUUGGGACUGAGACACGGCCCAAACUCCUACGGGAGGCAGCAGUAGGGAAUCUUCCACAAUGGACGCAAGUCUGAUGGAGCAACGCCGCGUGAGUGAAGAAGGCUUUCGGGUCGUAAAACUCUGUUGUUGGAGAAGAAUGGUCGGCAGAGUAACUGUUGUCGGCGUGACGGUAUCCAACCAGAAAGCCACGGCUAACUACGUGCCAGCAGCCGCGUAAAUAA